AUUGAACGCUGGCGGCAGGCCUAACACAUGCAAGUCGAACGAGUGGCGGACGGGUGAGUAAUGUCUGGGAAACUGCCCGACGGAGUGGGCUCAUUACUGGAAACGGUAGCUAAUACCGCAUACCAUCGGAUGUGCCCAGAUGGGAUUAGCGAGUAGGUUGGGUAACGGAUCACCUAGGAGAAGAUCCAUAGCUGGUCUGAUAGGAUGACCAGCUCCACUGGAACGGAGACGCGGUCCAGACUCCUACGGGAGGCAGCAGUGGCGAAUAUUGCACAAGGGCCGCAAGCCGGAUGCAGCCAUGCCGCGGGUAUGAAUAAUGCCUUCGGGUUUUAAAGUACUUUCAGCGAGGAGGCGUUACUCGCAGAAGAAGCACCGGCUAACUCCGUGCCAGCAGCCGCGGUAAUUC
Molecule: ribosomal RNA, 406 nt
Filed under: uncultured bacterium
Lineage: Bacteria
Description: partial 16S ribosomal RNA
Rfam family: Bacterial small subunit ribosomal RNA
Source: RNAcentral